This 66-nucleotide microRNA precursor is filed under the name Podarcis lilfordi (Lilford's wall lizard). The record is from RNAcentral. Lineage: Eukaryota; Metazoa; Chordata; Lepidosauria; Squamata; Lacertidae.
GUGUGUGUGUGUGUGUGUGUGUGUGUGUGUGUAUACACACACACACAUACAUAUACACACACACAC